Molecule: ribosomal RNA, 196 nt
Filed under: uncultured bacterium
Lineage: Bacteria
Description: partial 16S ribosomal RNA
Rfam family: Bacterial small subunit ribosomal RNA
Source: RNAcentral
GCCUCCCUCGCCGCCAUCCAGACUCCUACGGGAGGCAGGCAGUGGGAAUCGUUAGCACAAUGGGGGCAACCCGUGAUGCAGCGACGCCGCGUGAGCGAUGAAGCCUUCGGGUGUAAAGCUCUUUCGGCAGGGAAGAUAGUGACGAUACCUGCAGAAGCAGCUGCGGCUAACUACGUGCCAGCAGCCGCGGUAAUAC